CCCUUCUCCCUUUUUCUUCCUUUCAAAACCCAUUUCUACAUGCGCAUCUCCUUCCUCCGUCUCUCUCCAAACCCAUUUCCACACCUCCUCUAUUUUUCUCUUCUCUUCUUCUUUCUCUCUGGCCAUCGUCCUUGUCUCCUCUGAAACCCCCCCACUUGUGGGUUCCAUCUUUUGGUCACCUUCUUUGAAUGAAGGCCAUACGUGCCUUCUUCCUCUUGUCUGUUGUCCUCUUGAGGCUAUGAUGUUGCUAUUGUAAAAGAAAAAAAAUUCUUUAUUAAUGGGGAUUAGAGAAGAAAGGAGAGGAAGAGUAGAACAUCAUGUUGCAAAAGAAAUUCUUUCCUCUCUCUCGUUGACAAAAUACAUUUCUUCCUCCCUUUCUCUCUCUGUUUCUCUUCAGAAGAAACUUCUUCCGCAUCUCUCUUCGACAGAAACACCUCCUGA
RNAcentral lists this long non-coding RNA (441 nucleotides) under Elaeis guineensis (African oil palm). RNAcentral describes it as "long non-coding RNA (EGUI_LNC005082)". Lineage: Eukaryota; Viridiplantae; Streptophyta; Magnoliopsida; Arecales; Arecaceae. The record is from RNAcentral.